RNAcentral lists this non-coding RNA (129 nucleotides) under Schistosoma mansoni. Lineage: Eukaryota; Metazoa; Platyhelminthes; Trematoda; Strigeidida; Schistosomatidae. The record is from RNAcentral.
CCCAACCAUGCCUGCUACCUUGACGUGGUGGUCGGGCUUGCCUAUCGUGAUUACUCAACCGAACUAUAUUAGCUGGAACGUAUGUUCCUGUAUGCAGGUUGAUGGGAGAACGGUAAGACUAAAAGCAGU